GGAUCCAUGAGAAAAUGCAUGCUGUUUCUGGUCCCUCUGCUGACCCAAUGAUCGAGCCCUGACACCUUGUUGGCACUGUACCAUCAUGGAACGUUGGGCCUGCAGAAGCACUAGCAGCACCGGAUCCAAGAACACAAGAGGAUGAGGAUGAGAUUUCCCAUCAUUUUCUAACGGUGGCGGCCUGUGUGGUAAGAAACUGGGUUCUUUAAGAUUUGCCGAACACAGUUCAUAAUGAAUUGAGAAUUUUCUGCAAAAAGGAUCGCACUGUCUUUUUUUUCCCCCGCACGGGAUGCCCGUGGAUCAAGAAGGCUGAGGAGAAUCGCAAUGCCAAUCUGUGUGUGGUCAGAGACAGGUGGCCCCAGGCCCCAAACCUGUGCUUGUUACACAUGGAUUUGGUCACAAAUGUGAGGGCAAGGGUGUCCAGCCAAACUUCGAAUCCAUUCCCAUCAGAGCACAUACGCUCGUGCAGGCAAGCAAAAUGGCAUUUAUACUUAGUCCUGCUAAUUGGGUGUAACCCAAGUUAUGACCCCACCAAUCCAUUCUCACAAGAAAAUAAAUAUAACCCACCCCAAACUAAACCUCCACCAUCACACACCAC
Molecule: long non-coding RNA, 598 nt
Filed under: Setaria viridis
Lineage: Eukaryota; Viridiplantae; Streptophyta; Magnoliopsida; Poales; Poaceae
Description: long non-coding RNA (SVIR_LNC000103)
Source: RNAcentral